UAUACAGGUGUUGCAUGGCGUGUCGUCAGCUCGUGUCGUGAGAUGUUCGGUUAAGUCCGCUAACGAGCGCAACCCUCGUCGUAUGUUAUAUGUGUCAUACGAGACUGCCGGUAAAAGCCGGAGGAAGGUGAGGAUGAUGUCAAGUCAGCAUGACCUUUAUAUCCAGGGCUACACACACGCUACAAUGGUCUGUACAAUGGGUAGCCAAGCCGCGAGGCGGAGCCAAUCCUGAAAGCAGGCCUCAGUUCAGAUUGCAGUCUGCAACUCGACUGCAUGAAGCCGGAGUUGCUAGUAACCGCAGGUCAGCAAUACUGCGGUGAAUACGUUCCCGGGUCUU
RNAcentral lists this ribosomal RNA (337 nucleotides) under uncultured Anaerolineaceae bacterium. RNAcentral describes it as "bacterial SSU rRNA". It matches the Rfam family "Bacterial small subunit ribosomal RNA", at positions 1031 to 1382 of the family's 1533-position model. Lineage: Bacteria; Bacillati; Chloroflexota; Anaerolineae; Anaerolineales; Anaerolineaceae. The record is from RNAcentral.